GAUGAACGCUGGCGGCGUGCCUAAUACAUGCAAGUCGAGCGAACAGACGAGGAGCUUGCUCCUCUGACGUUAGCGGCGGACGGGUGAGUAACACGUGGAUACCUACCUAUAAGACUGGGAUAACUUCGGGAAACCGGAGCUAAUACCGGAUAAUAUAUUGAACCGCAUGGUUCAAUAGUGAAAGACGGUUUUGCUGUCACUUAUAGAUGGAUCCGCGCCGCAUUAGCUAGUUGGUAAGGUAACGGCUUACCAAGGCAACGAUGCGUAGCCGACCUGAGAGGGUGAUCGGCCACACUGGAACUGAGACGCGGUCCAGACUCCUACGGGAGGCAGCAGUAGGGAAUCUUACGCAAUGGGCGAAAGCCUGACGGAGCAACGCCGCGUGAGUGAUGAAGGUCUUCGGAUCGUAAAACUCUGUUAUUAGGGAAGAACAAAUGUGUAAGUAACUAUGCACGUCUUGACGGUACCUAAUCAGAAAGCCACGGCUAACUACGUG
Molecule: ribosomal RNA, 496 nt
Filed under: uncultured bacterium
Lineage: Bacteria
Description: partial 16S ribosomal RNA
Rfam family: Bacterial small subunit ribosomal RNA
Source: RNAcentral